GCCCUGUAGGGAGUACAUCGACUGUUAAUCGAAAGGCGCGGGUUCGAUUCCCGCCGUUGGCG
Molecule: transfer RNA, 62 nt
Filed under: Gemmatimonadales bacterium
Lineage: Bacteria; Pseudomonadati; Gemmatimonadota; Gemmatimonadia; Gemmatimonadales
Description: tRNA-Ser
Rfam family: tRNA
About the family: Transfer RNA (tRNA) molecules are approximately 80 nucleotides in length. Their secondary structure includes four short double-helical elements and three loops (D, anti-codon, and T loops).
Source: RNAcentral